RNAcentral lists this ribosomal RNA (434 nucleotides) under uncultured bacterium. RNAcentral's name for it is "partial 16S ribosomal RNA". It matches the Rfam family "Bacterial small subunit ribosomal RNA", at positions 29 to 507 of the family's 1533-position model. The record is from RNAcentral.
AGCGAACGCUGGCGGCAGGCCUAACACAUGCAAGUCGAACGAACCUUUCGGGGUUAGUGGCGGACGGGUGAGUAACACGUGGGAACGUGCCUUUAGGUUCGGAAUAACUCAGGGAAACUUGUGCUAAUACCGAAUGUGCCCUUCGGGGGAAAGAUUUAUCGCCUUUAGAGCGGCCCGCGUCUGAUUAGCUAGUUGGGUGAGGUAAUGGCUCACCAAGGCGACGAUCAGUAGCUGGUCUGAGAGGAUGAUCAGCCACAUUGGGGCUGAGACACGGUCCAAACUCCUACGGGAGGCAGCAGUGGGGAAUCUUGCGCAAUGGGCGAAAGCCUGACGCAGCCAUGCCGCGUGAAUGAUGAAGGUCUUAGGAUUGUAAAAUUCUUUCACCGGGGACGAUAAUGACGGUACCCGGAGAAGAAGCCCCGGCUAACUUCGUG